UUCCUACGGGGCGCAGCAGUGGGGAAUAUUGGGCAAUGGACGCAAGUCUGACCCAGCAACGCCGCGUGAAGGAAGAAGGCUUUCGGGUUGUAAACUUCUUUUAAGGGGGAAGAGCAGAAGACGGUACCCCUUGAAUAAGCCACGGCUAACUACGUGCCAGCAGCCGCGGUAAUACGUAGGUGGCAAGCGUUAUCCGGAUUUAUUGGGUGUAAAGGGCGUGUAGGCGGGAUUGCAAGUCAGAUGUGAAAACCACGGGCUCAACCUGUGGCCUGCAUUUGAAACUGUAGUUCUUGAGUGCUGGAGAG
This 305-nucleotide ribosomal RNA is filed under the name uncultured bacterium. RNAcentral's name for it is "bacterial SSU rRNA". It matches the Rfam family "Bacterial small subunit ribosomal RNA", at positions 336 to 656 of the family's 1533-position model. The record is from RNAcentral.